UGGGGAAUUGUUCGCAAUGGGCGCAACCCUGACGCAGCGACGCCGCGUGUGGGAUGAAGGUCUUCGGAUUGUAAACCACUGUCGCGAGGGACGAAGCUCUGACGGUACCUCGAAAGGAAGCACCGGCUAACUCUGUGCCAGCAGCCGCGGUAAUACAGAGGGUGCGAGCGUUGUCCGGAAUCACUGGGCGUAAAGGGCGCGUAGGCGGCCCGGUAAGUAGGGGGUGAAAUCUCAUGGCUCAACUGUGAGGCUGCCUUCUAGACUGCCAGGCUUGAGCACAGUAGAGGCGAGUGGAAUUCCCGGUGUAGCGGUGGAAUGCGUAGAGAUCGGGAAGAACAUCGGUGGCGAAGGCGGCUCGCUGGGCUGUUGCUGACGCUGAGGCGCGAAAGCGUGGGGAGCAAACAGGAUUAGAUACCCAUGUAGUCCCUGAGCGGGCUGGCAAGGCGCAU
This 449-nucleotide ribosomal RNA is filed under the name uncultured bacterium. Its description in RNAcentral is "bacterial SSU rRNA". It matches the Rfam family "Bacterial small subunit ribosomal RNA", at positions 355 to 825 of the family's 1533-position model. The record is from RNAcentral.